RNAcentral lists this unclassified non-coding RNA (157 nucleotides) under uncultured fungus. RNAcentral describes it as "sequence contains ITS2". Lineage: Eukaryota; Fungi. The record is from RNAcentral.
CAACCCUCAAGCACUGCUUGGUGUUGGGGCACCGCCUGUAAAAGGGCGGGCCCUGAAAUCUAGUGGCGAGCUCGCCAGGACCCCGAGCGUAGUAAUUAUAUUUCGUUCUGGAAGGCCCUGGCGGUGCCCUGCCGUUAAACCCCCCCAACUUCUGAAA